This is an RNA transcript of Solanum verrucosum, 1200 nucleotides long. RefSeq lists it as uncharacterized. The transcript is spliced from 10 exons. The record is from RefSeq and is a predicted model, not a curated record. NCBI's taxonomy places the organism in Eukaryota, Viridiplantae, Streptophyta, Magnoliopsida, Solanales, Solanaceae.
UCUCUCUCCCCCAGUCCCAACUACUCCCUCCCUUCACUCUCUUCCUCUGCUCGUGGUGGAGUAACUUGCAAAGCCAAGUAAACGCAUUGGAGUUGGACACAUAAAUGGGGGACGAAAAGGAUGCUUUUUAUGUCGUGCAUAAAGGGGAUGUGAUCGCUGUCUAUAAGAACCUGAGUGAUUUACAAGCUCUGCUACGAUCUUCUGUUGGUGAACCAGCCAUAAGUGUUUAUAAAGGUUAUCACCUGGCUAAGCAAUCAGAAGAGUAUUUGGCAUCUCAUGGACUCAAAAAUGCAAUGUAUUCUAUGGAUUUCAGUGAUGUUCGAGAUGAUCUCUUUGGGAUACUCGUCCCAUGCCCUUUUCGGCAACCUGGCUCUUCGAAAGAUAAAAUUAUCGGGAAGAAUCUUCAGGAAAAGAGGAUGCAGAUGGAGGUGGUUGCAUCUCCUUCGUUUUCAGCUGCUGGUCAGCAAAAAACAUGCCAAAUUAGACAAUUGCCUAGAAAUUCCCCCGAUUUCGUCAUAUUGUCCCCCCUACGUGCAGUGUUCAUGCAUUCUUGAGUUUGAUGGGGCUUCAAAGGGGAAUCCUGGACCAGCUGGUGCUGGUGCUGUGCUGCGUGCUGCAGAUGGAAGUAUGGUUUUCCGGUUGCGUGAAGGUGUGGGUGUGGCAACUAACAACGUUGCUGAAUACAGAGGUGUAAUCUUAGGGCUAAAAUAUGCUCUUGAGAAAGGUUUCAAACAUGUAAAAGUUAAGGGUGACUCAAAACUUGUCUGCAUGCAGACUCAAGGAAUCUGGAAAUGCAAGAACCAGAACAUGGCUGAGCUAUCCAAGAUUGUGAAAGAGCUUAAAGAUCAUUUUUUGUCAUUCCAGAUCAACCAUAUUUACAGAGAAUUCAACACUGAAGCCGAUGCCCAGGCAAAUUUAGCCGUGUAUCUUAAGAAUGGUGAAUUUCAAGUGGAAUGUGACAAGAAAACAACUUAAUAAUGUGAAGUCACCAACUACCCCAACUUGCUUGGGAUUUUGUGAAGAUGAAUGACACCCAAGACCGAUGCAUAAUGGAUCUUUUGUGGUCUAAAGCCAACGUCUUGUUUGUUUUUUGUAGAUAUAUGAUCUGAAUUAUGUGCACGCAUCUGGAUUAGGGAAACUUCUGUUUAGGAGCCUGCUCGAAUCGAUUAUUCUCUUCUCAUUUGCAAUGAAAAUUAAUUG